This 253-nucleotide ribosomal RNA is filed under the name uncultured bacterium. Its description in RNAcentral is "partial 16S ribosomal RNA". It matches the Rfam family "Bacterial small subunit ribosomal RNA", at positions 524 to 776 of the family's 1533-position model. The record is from RNAcentral.
UACGGAGGGUGCAAGCGUUAUCCGGAUUUACUGGGGUUAAAGGGUGCGCAGGCGGAUAUGUAAGUCAGUGGUGAAAUCUCCGGGCUUAACCCGGAAACUGCCGUUGAUACUAUAUAUCUUGAAUGCUGUGGAGGUAAGCAGAAUAUGUCAUGUAGCGGUGAAAUGCUUAGAUAUGACAUAGAAUACCUAUUGCGAAGGCAGCUUACUACGCAGAUAUUGACGCUCAUGCACGAAAGCGUGGGGAUCAAACAGG